GGAGGGGCCCAGGGCCAAGCCGGGGCGUGGGAAGUACCUGGCAUUGCCAGAUCUAGGAGUUGGGAAACAGCUGCGUGACUUCAUCUCAGUAACUGCUCUGCAAGAUCGUCCCUGCUGCGCAGAUACGGACACGGAGGCAGGGCUGGCUGGUCGGGUUUGAUACUUAUCUAAGGAGUGGGGUGGACAGGCUGUAGACUGUUGGAAGCUGGCAAUAACCCGCUCCUUAGAAUUUCAUAGCAUAGCUGGGCAUGGUGGCGCACACCUGUAAUCCCCGCGGCUGGGGAGGCUGAGACAGGAGAAUUGCAGGUUCAAAGCCAGCCUCAGCAUUGGCAGUUAACAACUCAGUGAGACCCUGUCUCUAAAUAAAAUACAAAAUAGGGCUGGAGAUAUGGCUCAGUGACAGAGUGUCCCUGAGUUCAAUCCCCAAUACUCCCCCA
RNAcentral lists this long non-coding RNA (437 nucleotides) under Marmota monax (woodchuck). The record is from RNAcentral. Lineage: Eukaryota; Metazoa; Chordata; Mammalia; Rodentia; Sciuridae.